This 270-nucleotide ribosomal RNA is filed under the name uncultured archaeon. RNAcentral's name for it is "partial 16S ribosomal RNA". It matches the Rfam family "Archaeal small subunit ribosomal RNA", at positions 477 to 747 of the family's 1478-position model. The record is from RNAcentral.
CAGCACCUCAAGUGGUCAGGAUGAUUAUUGGGCCUAAAGCAUCCGUAGCCGGCGCUGUAAGUUUUCGGUUAAAUCUGUACGCUCAACGUACAGGCUGCCGGGAAUACUGCAGCGCUAGGGAGUGGGAGAGGUAGACGGUACUCGGUAGGAAGGGGUAAAAUCCUUUGAUCUAUUGAUGACCACCUGUGGCGAAGGCGGUCUACCAGAACACGUCCGACGGUGAGGGAUGAAAGCUGGGGGAGCGAACCGGAUUAGAUACCCGUGUAGUCC